RNAcentral lists this ribosomal RNA (1669 nucleotides) under human gut metagenome. RNAcentral describes it as "bacterial LSU rRNA". It matches the Rfam family "Bacterial large subunit ribosomal RNA", at positions 1378 to 2925 of the family's 2925-position model. The record is from RNAcentral.
GGUGAGUCGGGUCCUAAGGCGAGGCCGACAGGCGUAGUCGAAUGGAUGAACGGGUGGAUAUUCCCGUACCGACCAUGGACCGGCAAAACCGAGACGGUGAGUACUAACCUCCGCCUCGUGGUGGUUCCUUCCUUCGGGUUGGUCCCGCCGCGUGGUGUUGGGAGCGUAGCCGCAGUAGGUCAGCGCAGGGGUGACACGGAAUGGGAGCCGGCCGCGGAGGUGGUUUUCCGUGGUCAAGCACGCAGCCAGUCAUGUAGGCAAAUCCGCAUGGCGCGCAUGGCGAGGUGUGAUGAUGGGAGCCUUUUGGCUCGAUAUCCGGUUGUCCAGGCCGUCGAGAAAAGCCUCGGCGUGAGGGCCAUGGCCGCCCGUACCCCAAACCGACACUGGUGGUCAGGUAGAGAAUACCAAGGCGAUCGAGCGAAUCCUGGUCAAGGAACUCGGCAAAUCACUCCCGUGCCUUCGGUAUAAGGGAGACCCGCUGGGGUGAACCGGCUAGCCCGGGGAGCUUUGGUGGGUGGCACAGACCAGGGGGUAGCGACUGUUUACCAAAAACACAGGUGCAUGCGAAGGCGAAAGCCGCUGUAUAUGCACUGACGCCUGCCCGGUGCCGGAAGGUUAAGAGGAUCCGUCAACUCUUCGGAGCGAAGCGGUGAAUUCAAGCCCCGGUAAACGGCGGUGGUAACUAUAACCAUCCUAAGGUAGCGAAAUUCCUUGUCGGGUAAGUUCCGACCUGCACGAAUGGCGUAACGACUUCCCCACUGUCUCGACCAGGAGCUCGGCGAAAUUGCAGUACGAGUAAAGAUGCUCGUUAAGCGCAGAAGGACGAAAAGACCCCGGGACCUUUACUAUACCUUGGUAUUGGCGUUAGGCGCGGAUUGUGUAGCAUAGGCGGGAGGCUUCGAAGCGGGUGCGCCAGCAUUCGUGGAGCCGCAAGGUGAAAUACCGCUCUGUUCUCGUUUGACGUCUAACCUCGACAAGUCAUCCUUGUCAGGGACAGUGCCUGGCGGGUAGUUCAACUGGGGCGGUUGCCUCCCAAAGAGUAACGGAGGCGCUCAAAGGUCCGCUCAGCCCGGUUGGCAAUCGGGUGUCGAGUGUAAUCGCACAAGCGGGCUUGACUGCGAGGACGACGGUCCGAGCAGGGACGAAAGUCGGAGAUAGUGAUCCGGUGCCGGCGCACGGGCGCGGCAUCGCUCAACGGAUAAAAGGUACCCCGGGGAUAACAGGCUGAUCAUUCCCAAGAGUCCAUAUCGACGGGAUGGUUUGGCACCUCGAUGUCGGCUCGUCGCAUCCUGGGGCUGGAGCAGGUCCCAAGGGUUCGGCUGUUCGCCGAUUAAAGCGGCACGCGAGCUGGGUUCAGAACGUCGUGAGACAGUUUGGUCUCUAUCCUCUGCGCUCGUUGGAAUCCUGAGGAGGCCUGCCCAUAGUACGAGAGGACCUGGGUGGACGAACCUCUGGUAUGCCGGUUGUCGCGCCAGCGGCACGGCCGGUUGGCUACGUUCGGGAGGGAUAACCGCUGAAAGCAUCUAAGCGGGAAGCCUGCUCCAAGAUUAGGAUUCCAUGGAUCUUCGAGAUCCUGUAGCCCGCAUGUUGAACACGUGUUUGAUAGGCCGGAGGUGGAAGCCCCGUGAGGGGUGGAGCCGACCGGUACUAACGGGCGACGGCGACAUAA